This is a long non-coding RNA of Cervus elaphus (red deer), 2790 nucleotides long. RefSeq lists it as uncharacterized. The record is from RefSeq and is a predicted model, not a curated record. NCBI's taxonomy places the organism in Eukaryota, Metazoa, Chordata, Mammalia, Artiodactyla, Cervidae. The transcript has 3 exons.
GAGAGGGUCCGGAGAGGUGGAGAGAGGGAGAGACGAUGGAGGUUGCCACAGCGCCCCUUAUAGGACUGGAGGAGGAUCUGUCCCGCUGUCCUUCGGGCUGGACUACAACGGUAAAGCCCAGGUUUCUUCAGCAAAGAUAGAGCCGGUUAGUGAUAAGCGCAGGAUCUGUCUCGCCUACAGCUUAGUAAAAGAAAGGGGAGACAUAAACGGAAGAGUGCAAUGGAAAGCUUUAUAUGACAGACCUCUGUGUCUAGAGGACGCUAACAGGGAUGGCACAAGUUGAAUCUUGAAAAACAUGAUGGGUGUUGAACAGGUGGGCAGGGCAGGACGUCGAGGCCCAUUUUAGAUCCGUAGUGUAUUUAAUGUGGUGGGCAUCCCCUGGAGGAGGGCAUGGCAACCCACUUCAGUGUUCUUACCUGCAGACUCCCACGGACAGAAUAGCCAUAGAGUUGCAAAGAGUCAGAUAGGACCGAAGCGACUUAGCACGCAAGCAUGUAUUUGGGGGCAUAGGGGAAGAAUCAAGGGAAGAAAUCAUAUCACUUAAGCCGGAAGAAAUUUGAACUUUGUUCUCCAGGCUAUGGAGUGAGGUAGAAGGGUAUUUUUCUCUAAUCAAGUUGAAGUAUAUUUUAUGUAUAGUAAAACAUCAGUUGUAAAGCUUCCCUGACGGCUCAGUGGUAAAGACUCCGCCUGCCAAUGCAGAAGCUUCUAUCCCUGGUCCCGGGAAGAUCUCACAUGUCGCUGAGCCACUAAGCCCAUGAGCCACAACUACUGAGACUGCGCCCUAGAGCCUGUGCACUGAAACAAGAGAGGCCCCCACAAUUAGAAGCCCCAAGCACCACAGCAAAACGGAGUAAUCCCCCGCUUGCCAGAACUUGAGAAAGCCGUCGCAGAGCAAGGAAGACUCAGUACAGACAAAAAUAAAUAAAUACAAUUAUAGAAAAUAAAUUAUACUAAACAGAUCGGCCCUGGACUUUGCUCUCCAUUGUUCAGCAAGUGGAGAGCCGGCAGAUAUUAAUCACAACAGGACGUGGUCUCAUGAAUUCAGUGCAGCACAGUUAGAGUGAAACAAACCUGGUAAGAGAAGCCAACAGAGAAACCGGUUUGCCCAGGAGCUGGAUCCAGCGUGGGGAGGAAAGGAAACCCGAGAAUGUCCCCACGGGCCGGGCUGCUUUGGCCAGGUGUCCAGCGGAGGGCAGUGGUGAGCAGACAGUCCUGCAGAGACGGAUCCCUGAGAGCCGACUUCAGCCUUUUCAAGAUCCCAACGGAGUGCAUAACCCUGCCUUAGCUGAGACAGGCAACAGUGACUAUGGCUGGGAGAAAAAGACACAGAAGAAAGUUGUCCUCCAGGAUCAAGGCUAAGCUGCCUCAAUUUUAGGGGAAAAGGCUGGUCCCUGACCAGUCCAGGACUUCCUGUCACCUCUUGCCUAACACAUCCGUCUGGCUGUGAAGUGAUUUUCUGCAUCCUAUGCUAUGGUAACCGGAUCCAUACGGACCCCAGGACCAGACAUCUUAGAACCUUGACUCCAAAGAUAACCUUUAGAUGGAGUUACCCAAUUCUGGCUCCUCUAAGAAGAGAUGCCGUGGGACCUAUUGCAAAGGGCUUUGUCGAAGGCUUUUGUUUCUGGGCAGAACUGACUCAUCAUUUCCCCCAGAUAAGUUUGCUCUCUGGGAGGUUUCCAGGCCCCCAUCCCUCCAGUUGGCCGUUUCUCCAGACCAGAUGGUUCAUUUUAGAUCUCAAUUUGCAACGUGCUACCCUUUGUGGGCACAUGUUCUGGAUUCAUCCCAAACGGAGCAGCUGAUUCACUCGGACGUUCUGGGAAGCCCUCCCCGUUUGAUUCCACCUCAGCACAUCAGCAUAGAAGCUGCGAGUCAGAUUUCCAGUUUGUUGUGGGGAGCCUAUUGAUUCUAAGCCCAGAAGUGCAGUCCUGGGAGACUGACGUCAGAUCUCAGGCAGAGGGCCUGGGCGCCCCCAGAGGGUCUUAGGGUGCUGGUGCUGCUGCCUUUGGGAGGGCUGCUCCCUCAAGUCCGUCAGAGGUGGACUCUGGUGGGAUCAUGACCCGUUCUGGGGCCAUUUAAUAUUUUGAAUAAAAGCAGAGGAAAGAAUUCAUGACCAAUUUGAGCUCCGAGAUUUUAAGUUUAAACCGGAUGGCCUUUCUCUAGCUUCUCUCCUUGCCAGUUACCCACUGCUUGUUCAGUAGACAGUUGUUGAUCACGUACUGUGCAUCAGACGUUGUGCUUAGGGCUCGGGGAUAAGAGUAAAAAGCCGAUGCUUGCCUUCAAGGGGCUCAGUGACUAACGUCUGAGAUAGGCGGGCACGGAGAACAAAGUGAGCGGAGCUGACGUAACGCAGUGGUCAAGAGCUGAGAUUCAGGAGCCAGACCCCCCAGAUUCCUGCUCUGCCACUUUGCAAGUAUGUGACUUUGGACACAUUACUUCACCCGUUUGUGCACCAGUUUUCUCAUCAGUAGAAUGAGAAUAAUAAUGAUACCCACUUUAGUGUUUUAUGAGGAUAAAUUCGUUGCUAGAUUUAAAGUGCUUAGAACUGUGCCAGGGGUAGUGAGGGUGGUACAUAUCUGAGAUAGUUUAAAGCUGGAGCAUCAAGAGGGUUAAUUGGAUGAAGGAUUUAAGAAAAAGGAAGGGGUCAGGUUUAUAUCCCAGGAGUCUGGAAUAUGAACAUGUGUGGCCAGGAAAGUUCUUUUGAGUCUAGGGACCACUACCAUAUAAAUAUUUUUUUUCCUUUUGUUUUCAAAUUUGUUUAUUCUUUAAUUGAAGGUUAAUUGCUUUACAGAA